AUUGAACGCUGGCGGCAUGCUUUACACAUGCAAGUCGAACGGCAGCGCGGGCUUCGGCCUGGCGGCGAGUGGCGAACGGGUGAGUAAUGCAUCGGAACGUGCCCAGUAGUGGGGGAUAGCCCGGCGAAAGCCGGAUUAAUACCGCAUACGACCUGAGGGUGAAAGCGGGGGACCGAAAGGCCUCGCGCUAUUGGAGCGGCCGAUGUCGGAUUAGCUAGUUGGUGGGGUAAAGGCUUACCAAGGCGACGAUCCGUAGCUGGUCUGAGAGGACGACCAGCCACCCUGGGACUGAGACACGGCCCAGACUCCUACGGGAGGCAGCAGUGGGGAAUUUUGGACAAUGGGGGCAACCCUGAUCCAGCCAUGCCGCGUGCGGGAAGAAGGCCUUCGGGUUGUAAACCGCUUUUGUUCGGGAAGAAAUCCUCUGGGCUAAUACCCCGGGGGGAUGACGGUACCGGAAGAAUAAGCACCGGCUAACUACGUG
This 484-nucleotide ribosomal RNA is filed under the name uncultured bacterium. Its description in RNAcentral is "partial 16S ribosomal RNA". It matches the Rfam family "Bacterial small subunit ribosomal RNA", at positions 28 to 507 of the family's 1533-position model. The record is from RNAcentral.